AUAACAGGAUGACCGACCUAGAAGAAAGGUCUUGCCUAACCCAUACGACAGCGAUGAGUAUAGAAAUAUUAGGUCAUAUUAUUAGGUGAUUUGUGCACCGAAAAGUUCUCUUUUUUCCUUUUCUUUCCUCUUUUAUCUUUUGUUCAUCAUUACGCAAGGUGCACGACGGUUAGUAAGUGUGCUUCUUCUCAGAAACAAAAAAAGAACUCGAUGUGACCUUCUUCGCAACUAAUCGUGAGAUCUCGAGUUAGUUAGGGGUCGCCGGUGGAAAUCAGGGGUUGAGGCCGCUCUGUUCGUCGCCGCUCUCCCGUCUCCGUUCCCCUUGACAAGACAAGCGGCGACGUUCUCCCUGCCCCUCGGCCGGGCCGCCGCGUCGCCGUGGCCGUGGCCGUGGUGCGAGUAGGGGUGCUUCAAGGCACCAGUUCGACGGAGGUCACUUAUAUAACUUACUUGAUGUUUAGACAUUUAGUACGUAAAAGAUUAGGGUCGGAUCAACUUCCUCGGAUCAAUGACUUCAGGGAGACAACCUAGUUUCAGAAGGAAAAAGAUGUCUUGUCUUCUCAUUAGAGGGAGACGUCAAUCAGAUAGGACACCAAUGACUCAUUGACCUUUCGACCUGGAUGACCGGAGUCAAAAGAGUGCGAAGUUCCCGCGAGACGAUAUUUUAGCGAUUACCUAAUGGCUCUAUGACGUCGUGAUUUACUGGAACUCGAGUACGAUGAUCUACUUUGCCGACUGGGUUUCCGGAAUGGUGAUAGUGAAGACUUUCUGUAGUGUUUACUAAAGAGAUUACUAGCUGUUUAGCCAUCUCCACCGAAACGUCACCAUAUAUUCCCUCAUGAACUCUCACCAUGUCAGCGACACUUCUCCAACUCGCUAUACACAUACCUACUCUUCUUUAAGGUACCUCUCCAAGUUACAAACUACUUCCGUUCCGUGUUUUUGUAUCAUGCCAAAAACCCUAUAACACGACUGUGUGUUCCCUUAUACAACUCGAUGUUGCCUUUUAAUCAGUACCGUCUACAUGCCGUUUCUAACGAAACGAAGCUUAUGUACAGGUUUCCCUCAGAUGCACUAAUAUAGUCACUACUCAGAACACCUGAACUUACCUCUUUCGCGAUGGUUUAAUAGUUGCCUUAAACGGUUCCAAAUUUAAUAGAGGUACUCUUAGCAUAACAAGUGAAUCUAGACUUUGGUCUUUUACAUGAGGAUCUACUGUUAUACCAUGGUUUCUAAUGACUGAAACCAGAGAGUUCCAUAAAACUCCUUUCCGUUUGAUCGGUUAGAUAAUGAAGUUUAUAAAGACCAUGUGACCCUAUAUAACGUGGUCUUGAGAUGCUACCCCUUUUUUAGUGUUAGGUCAGUCUAUAUAUAUCAGAACCAUAAUAUUAGUAUCUCUAUGAUUGUCCUUCUUUUCCCACAGGGCUGCAACCUCAACAUGAACUCUCUACCACACUUUCCAACCCUUUUAGUGAUCUUCUGUGUGUACACCUUGUUCAUGCUCAAACGUGACUUUAUCCCUAUCUCACGUCACUGAAGUUAGGUCGUUUCUCCGGACAAUCAUGUGUGUUCUAUUAGCUUUCCGAGUUCCUUUGUCUUUGAUGUCUACUCCAUAGGUCACAGAAUAGGUCGUAACAUGGGUGGUUUGAUAAACAGGUAGGCGUAGAGGAGACGAAAGGGACGCAUGGCUUGUUCGACUAGGGUUCAAGCGACUUGGAAUCUUUGAAGUGUCUACUUGUAAAACGUAAAUCCGAACACCUUAGGAUACGUCUUCUUUGAGUCGCUGCGAAACGGUUUAACGGUGACAUGCCUCAGCACAGCGGCUCCAGUUGUGUGUGAGAAUCAAACUGUGAGGUCCUUGCCCUGCUUUUUAGGUAAGUAAACCAUGAUCUCUCGUCAUGUAAAUUCCUACGUGUAUACGGUUACAUGACAUCGCUUAAAUCUCCCCUGUUUAAAAAUCUUCUUUGGUUUCUCUUUCCAUUAUACCACGUCGUUCACUAUCACUUUCGACAACGAUGAUGACGUGUCGCUCUCUAUUGCAGACUCGAUUAGGGUUUAUUUUGCUUCUAGAAUAAGUUCUUCUCGGGUAAGUGCAGAGACCUGACGGUUCUACAAUUGGAUUGGUUCGUUACCUAUUAUUGUCCGGUAUGUGCCCCUAUACAAACGUAAACCCUGCCAGUUUGUGUCUCCUUUCAUCUAAGCAAAUUUCAGAGGUGGCUGUUUCAACAAAACCAAUUUAAAUAGCAUGCUUUUGUUACCAAACACCGACCUCGGCCUCUACCGAAAUAAGUGUAGAUGUUAAUGCUUUGCUUUGCCGUCGUUCAGGGUUCAAAGUGUCGAGUACGACCCUUGAACUGUAGUAACCGGCAAGUAGGUUCGUUUGGCAUGAACUACAGUACCUCAAGACUACUUUACUUCGAAACCCUAACCCUGUUUCGGACCCUCACGUGUGUUUGCAAGUUCACGUUUGUGAGCCCAAUAUAAACAGUUCAGUACAAAUUGGGUUUUUUGUGGGUGUCAAAACAGUGACGGAGUCGGUUAGUGUACUAUCUCCAAACCCUAAAACUAAGAGGAGUUACAUUUAUGCGUGAGAGACCCGUGACCCUGUCUCAAUUGACGGAACUAAAGAAGUGUGUACUGUUAGUCGUCAUAAACUAAUGACCGAGAUCACUAACAUCGCGCUUCUAUACCCUGUACGUGUCGUUAUACACAUGAGUAUGUGAUGUGCGAAGGUACAGAGGCCAAUACAGACAGUAUAAAGUAGGGUUAGAAGUCCAAGAUUAAUGUCCAAAUCUUCUACCGUGACAAAUAAACACCUCAAGUUGAUUAAAGUCCGAACUCUCCUAAUAAUCGGGAGGACAUUCACUUGGGGGACGAACCCCAAAGCCUACCUAUAUGUUAUAAAAAUCGUCGGGGCAUUCACUUGUACAAACCCCAGAGCGUACAAGCUACUUCAGUUUUCCCAAACACAAACCUUCUCCUCUCUGCCAUCGUUACCACCUACAGCCGUUACAUUUAUUAGUCCUUCUUAGUUCAGUAGUGUCACAUGGCGUCUAUUCUCGACUGUAUUGAUGAGUCAACUAGCUGUUGUCACCCGAUGAACUUCACGUGGGCAGACUGGAGGCGAAGGGGAACGUUGGUUUGUUCAGUUGGUGCAAGAGUGACCUGGAUUGUUUGGUGUGUAUACUCGCGCACCGUAAAUCCGAACAUGUCUUCUUAUUCUCGGUGAGCAAGCCCCUUCUUCUUCUAAGUGAAAAUAGUUUACACGGCUAAAUACCUAAAUAUCGAAGGUCCAGGUGCAUGUGAGAUCAGCACUGUUGCUUUCUCACCGGUUUAGUUCCUCUGCUGUGUUCGAACCUAGACGAAGACGUCUCGUCAUAUAGCCCCCUGUUCAAGUAGCAGGGUAAGCUUUUGCUCUGACUCACACAACUAGAUAAACUCCUUAAUUUUCUCUACCCCUUACACCACGUACUUAGCUGUGACUUUCGACAAAAAAUACGUGUUCUUCUCCACUGUGUGCUCUAGUAUAGUCGGUGCUUCUUUCAACUACGUGAACCUAAGCCGUUAUCCGACCACACGGAUCUACGUGUAGGUUGUCUCUGUACCUAGAAUUGUACGUUCAAAAAACCUCUACAAGUGUACACCCUAGAACAGAGAGUCCUUUUCUUCCGGGAGACAAGAAAAGUACAGAUGCUCUUACCUUGUUCUCCCCAUAGUCGCUGUCAAUUUAAGGAAUUUAAAUAGCGUGCCUUCGUUACCAAAGACCGACCACGUCUGCUACCGAAGUAGGUACACACGUGGAUGUCUUGUCUCUAUCAUGUUGUCUAGUGCUCAAAGUCUCGGCCAAGAAGGUCACAGUGUCGUUACUGGUAGGUAGGUUGGGUCGGUAUACACGACAGGAGCCGAAUACUUUCGGGCUAAUCCGAAACCUUGACCCUUCUCCCGACCGUCACGUGUGCUUGAAAGCUGCUACUUGUGAGACCUUGACAGGCAGUCUAGUGGAAGUUGGGUUUCCUACGGUUGACAAAACGAUCGCGCAGGCUUCUAGUCUGUCAUUUCCAAACCUUGGAACUGAGGGGCUUUAGAUCGAUGUGAGACAAACCCGUAAACCGAGUUCACUUGACGGAACUAAAGAAGCGUGUACCACUAGUUGUCAUAGACUAAAGACCGAGUCUACUGAACUGGCGGUCCUAUACCCUGGACCUCUUGUCCCACACACAGAUGUGUUAUUCUCGAGAGUACCGAGGCCAAGAAAGUCAAGAUACAGAAGAAGGACUAGUAGGUAUAGAUUAAUAUCCAAAUUUUCUACCGUGAGAAGUAAACAAGUCGAGGCGAUCAAAAUCCGAACACUCCUAGUAACUGAAUCCGACAUCGUUUCAAGCGUCACAGUUAGACUACCCUAGUCAUUCCCAACACUAACUUGUUCUCCCCCGUCACAGUUAGUACCUAUAUCUGGGACUUGUUGUUCCACCAUAAUAGUCACUUCACCCCCGAUUGUACCAGCUACGUCGCUCUAACCUACAACGAACCCUUCGUGUUGAUCUGUAGAAGGUUCUUGGGUUUCUCCUAAACGGUCCACGUCACAGUCCCUGUCCUUUAUGCUUAAGGUGUGUCCGCAGGCUCCUUACGCUACCCUAUAUUGUUAUCUAAUCACGAAUGUCUUUAAGCGGGGGUUUCUUUUAUUAAAUCGUUCACUAAUGUGGUCGUACUCAUUGUCUUACUUUCGAUUUAGAUAAACACGCUUUUGUCUACCUACUUCUCGUCUUUUAUUCCUAACACCCACCUACAACCGAUUAGGAGAGGUGACUAAAAAACAACAACACUUUGACUACCAGAGAUGUGACUAUAUAUGUGACGUAUAUAACGAACCAUUUUAAAACCUGUCUACCUCUUGAGCACACGAAAAGAAUAAGAACAUACUCUUUAAUAUCCGUUCUGGAACUUUGGCGUUAAACAGAUUACCUGUGCAGGAAUACGGUUGAGCUCGAGAGAUAGAUACAACACUUUAAACCGACCGUCCCAGUAAACGAAUGACGAAGGAGACAUUUGUUUAUGAAUCACUGGAUUUUGCAGAAUAUAAACAAAUGUCACCCUCAUCAUUAUACAAACGUAACGAAAUACUAUCUGUGUUUGUAAUGUACGUAGUGAUGUA
This 5152-nucleotide ribosomal RNA is filed under the name Triticum aestivum (bread wheat). RNAcentral's name for it is "partial small subunit ribosomal RNA". The record is from RNAcentral. Lineage: Eukaryota; Viridiplantae; Streptophyta; Magnoliopsida; Poales; Poaceae.